AUCAGCUCUGGCCACGAGAGCAGAAGUGGCUUCCCCUACAAAGCUUGUGGGUACCAGCCUGGCAGACAUGGAUGGCUAAACUGGGAGAAUGUGAAUCUGGAGCUGCCCAGUGGAGAGCUCUUGUUUGUGCAGGAAGCUAAGCAGAGUCAAGCAAAAGUGAGAAGCGCAAGGAGAGAUGGUUCUUGAGAUGGAGUCUGGCUAAUAUGGGGGCUUAGGUGGAAAGAAACUGAUGGGCCCACCUGUCACAGACAAGAGAGGACUUAGAACCCAUUCCUGCAGAGAUUAAUGCUACACUUCCCUCAAAGGGGGUCUUUAGAGAGCCUGGCCUGGGACAUCCACAAAAUGCUGGCUCUCUCCAGUUCUUCAUGCAUGUGGCCAAAACAGACGCUGUUGACCUGACCCGUCUUCACAUCACAUUUCGAGUCCCUAACAGACCAAUAAAUGGCUCUGUGGCCUGAUUCCAAAUUCCAUGGAGAGAGAAUCCCUCAGCCUUGGUCCAAUCAACUCCUGUCCACGGGUGAGAACUUGUAUCUGGGGGCCUUCGUUUGCGGGUAAAGAGCCUGCUGGCAAAUAUCCUUAAAGGUUUCUAUGUGAGCACCAAAUAUAGUUUUAAAGAGCAGACAACCUCCACUUAUCCACCAACCUGGCAGGUCAGGGGGAAUCUAACCUUCUUUUCAAAUUUUCUGUCCUGCAUUAGACAAUGUCCUUAGCCUUUUAACCUUCUGUGUCCUUAAACGCCUCUCCCCAGCAUAAACCCAUCAUAUCGCUGAGGGGGAAAAAGCAGACGAAAAGAUUAGAUUCUCUUCCUGUUCUAAACAUGAAGUUAAUCUACUGGAAAAAAACCAUUAUUGAUUUUUAUCUUUUAUAGUCUUCUCCUGAAACAACAAUUGUGUGCUACUAUUGGCAAAAUACUUGGCUUGUUUUGGACUCAGAUCUUAAUUUUUAAAGAUUCCUGUUUGUUAUUUUUU
This 968-nucleotide long non-coding RNA is filed under the name Equus asinus (donkey). Its description in RNAcentral is "lncRNA (ENSEASG00005035489.1)". Lineage: Eukaryota; Metazoa; Chordata; Mammalia; Perissodactyla; Equidae. The record is from RNAcentral.